Molecule: ribosomal RNA, 1601 nt
Filed under: Stenomphrale teutankhameni
Lineage: Eukaryota; Metazoa; Arthropoda; Insecta; Diptera; Scenopinidae
Description: eukaryotic LSU rRNA
Rfam family: Eukaryotic large subunit ribosomal RNA
Source: RNAcentral
UAAUCUGAUCUGGUAAAGCGAAUGAUUAGAGGCAUUAGGGCCGAAACGACCUUAACCUAUUCUCAAACUUUAAAUGGGUAAGAACCUCACCUUUCUUGAUAUGAAGGUUGAGGUUGUGAUAUAUUGUGCCCAGUGGGCCACUUUGGGUAAGCAGAACUGGCGCUGUGGGAUGAACCAAACAUGAUGUUACGGUGCCCAAAUUAACAACUCAUACUGAUACCAUGAAAGGCGUUGCUUGCUUAAAACAGCAGGACGGUGGACAUGGAAGUCGUAAUCCGCUAAGGAGUGUGUAACAACUCACCUGCCGAAGCAACUAGCCCUUAAAAUGGAUGGCGCUCAAGUUGUAUACCUAUACAUCAUCGCUAAAGCAUAUGAUUUAUAAAAUUUAUUUUAAUAAAUUUUGAAGCUUUAGUGAGUAGGAGGGUACAAUGGUGUGCGUAGAAGUGUUUGGCGUAAGCCUGCAUGGAGCCGCCAUUGGCACAGAUCUUGGUGGUAGUAGCAAAUAAUCGAAUGAGACCUUGGAGGACUGAAGUGGAGAAGGGUUUCGUGUGAACAGUGGUUGAUCACGAGUUAGUCGGUCCUAAGUUCAAGGCGAAAGCCGAGAAAUUUUAGAGUUAUAUUAAUUUAUGAAAUAAAUAUACUUUAUAUUUUUGAACGAAAGGGAAUACGGUUCCAAUUCCGUAACCUGUUGAGUAUACGUUUGUUUAAUAAAACUGGGCUUAUAUGCUCAUCCUGGUAACAGAAACAACCAUAAAGAAGCCGUCGAGAGAUAUCGAAAGAGUUUUCUUUUCUGUUUUAUAGUCGUACUACCAUGGAAGUCUUUCGAAGAGAGAUAUGGUAGAUGGACUAGAAGAGCAUGGCAUUUACUGCUGUGUCGAUAUUUUCUCCUCGGACCUUGAAAAUUUAUGGUGGGUCACCCAAACUUCUCAACAGGCCGUACCGAUAUCCGCAGCUGGUCUCCAAGGUGGAGAGUCUCUAGUCGAUAGAAUAAUGUAGGUAAGGGAAGUCGCCAAAUUAGAUCCGUAACUUCGGGAUAAGGAUUGGCUCUGAAGAUUGAGAUAGUCGGGCUUGAUUGGGAAACAAUAAAAUGGUUUAUGUACUCUUUCUGGGUAAAUUAGGAUUUAUACAAUUUUUUUUAUUUAAGAAGAUUGUAUUUAUCUGUUCCCCGGAGAGAUGUUACGUAGCCAAUUGUGGAACUUUCUUGCUAAUAAUUUAUAAAAAGGUUUUUUAUUUUAUAAUGGGAAAUUAUUUUUUAUAAAUUUAUAACGACUAUCAAUUAACAAUCAAUUCAGAACUGGCACGGACUUGGGGAAUCCGACUGUCUAAUUAAAACAAAGCAUUGUGAUGGCCCUAACGGGUGUUGACACAAUGUGAUUUCUGCCCAGUGCUCUGAAUGUCAAAGUGAAGAAAUUCAAGUAAGCGCGGGUAAACGGCGGGAGUAACUAUGACUCUCUUAAGGUAGCCAAAUGCCUCGUCAUCUAAUUAGUGACGCGCAUGAAUGGAUUAACGAGAUUCCUACUGUCCCUAUCUACUAUCCAGCGAAACCANNNNNNNNNNNNNNNNNNUGGAAUAAUUAGCGGGGAAAGAAGACCCUGUUGAGC